UGUUCUCGUUGUCCUUCUUGAGCUUGGUCCUGAUGACUUUGAAACUACUAGUGUCCGUGAGAGAAGUGGAGCAGAAGGGUGUUUUUAACUCGCUUCAACAUGUUGAAUCGGUCACUCUAGUUUCUUUGAGGAAAGGAGGCGUGGAAAAAAUCGUGAACGAGCACUUUCAGGUUUAAUUAUCUGGCUUGACCAAGUUGGCCAUACGGUGGGUGUUUGGGCGGCGUUUAUGACGAUGCUAAUGCUCAUGGGCAAGUUAGAUCCUCGGAUAUAAGUGUCUAACACUCAAGUGAGGACUUUAUGGUUGUUGGUCUUUUUCAAAAUUUGUUUAUCACAAACGAUCAAGUUCGCCCGUAAAACCCGGCUAAUCCAUUGUAAUACACCCGGGGCUUUGACGGCAACUCUGCUCACUAUUCUCUCAAGAUCAUCAUUGAUCCUUUCAAAUCUGUCUGAAACCUUGUCCUAUUCAUGUCCUGAGCAUAUCAUAAAGCCUGUCCAAUCAGGUCAGCCGUUCACGAAUUACGCCAAAAAACUUGAUGUGGGACACGAAUGUACAUUUAAACACAAGGUCUGUUGAGCUCGAGAGAGUGAGAUGAGAUCGGUCUUCGUACAAAAUAUGUCCACUUGCAAAUAUUCAAGGGUGGCACUAUCAGAUUGAGACGAAUCUGAUGAUCAGAAGCCAGAGAGAGGCGAAGAAUCCAAGUGUGAGAGGUGUGAGGAGGAGGAGGAGCACGAGGAGGAGAUCUGCUAGGUCUACAAUAUCGAACCAAGCUCACCCAGCUCAUCCGUCCCGUCCUAACCAUGAGAGCAAAAGCAGGAUGUCGGGUGAAGUGAUGAUUCAUGAGAGUGACUGGUUGCUAACCCGAUACUUUUCAGGUGUGCGUGAUGGUGUGUCUGUGAGUGGUUGUUUUAAUUGGGUGUCUUCUUUGUUCCACAUCAGAUUGAAUUGUGUGGUGCAAAUCACGAGAAACAAGAAGCGUCAAAUCCGAGCUCUGUCGAAGAUCAUUGUUUGUUGCCGUCAUAAAAAGUGCUCUUGAGAUGCACUUCAUCGUCUUCUUACCUGUGCAAACUGCCCCUAAUCCGCCUCCUUAACCAACUUAAUCCUACCUUUGAUUUAGAUCAUGGCCACUAAUCCCAUCGGAAAACAUCAGUGGCCUCGCCAUAAACCCGGUUUUACUCCUAUCACCAACUGGACAUCUCGUCCAACCAAGCGAAUAAAUGGCAAUGUGACGUUUGAAAGCCAUCCAUUUUGAGCCAAUGUGUUUCUUUUUUCUAUUCCUGCCAAUGGAAUUUAUGACGUAUCGAUUUCCAGUCUCUCAAUUACCACGACGGGUGUUUCUUUUCUUGAUCCAAAUUGGACCCUGCCCUCCCGACGAUCAUAAAUAUCAUAAAUACACGCAAUUCCAAGGAAAACGAUUCGAUUCCCAGAUGAAGGAUUGACGGAACCAAAUUCGCAGCCACAUCCACUUCAAUUUGCCUAAUUGAAAUUGGAUCCAAAAAAACACCGGAGGGAGAGCAGAAGACGCGUUGGAUUUCCACAGGAAAUGGCCAUCCAAAUUUAGCUCUGCGUGGAAUUGGAAUUGUUGUGGGGCCAAUUAAAAUGAUUGGCCUAAAUUCCACCCACGAUCAUUUUGAGGUCCGAUCCACUCAAACCCUGACGAAUUUGUGGCGAAAAUCCUUGAUUUGCUGUCCCACCCGAUCCUCCAACAGGACCAAAUUCAGUUAUUUCUCGAUCCAAGCGAUCCGGAUAACAGCUGAGCUGAUACGUACGUAUUUUCAAUCAAGACGAAAACACUUCAAUCAUCCGAGGGAUCCGAGACAUGUUGGUGUCCUCUUGAGACAGCAAUUGCAAUGGUUCUCUUCUUGCCUUUCAAUGAAAGUUGAUUGACGCGGCGGACAGGGAUUUUAAUUUCUUCACCACAAGAAGAGAGUCCGAUAGAUCCGGAGGGGACCAAGACGACCACGACAAAGGCAUCGAGGGAUUAAGGGGAAUGGGAGAGAGAGAGAGACAGAGAGAGAGAGAGAGAGAGAGCGAAUGAUGCAGGGUGGUCGGAAACCAAUUACUCUCGAGAAAAAUAAAAGUUAAUUUUCUUUGACAA
This is a long non-coding RNA of Tigriopus californicus, 2096 nucleotides long. RefSeq lists it as uncharacterized. The record is from RefSeq and is a predicted model, not a curated record. The transcript has 2 exons. Lineage: Eukaryota; Metazoa; Arthropoda; Copepoda; Harpacticoida; Harpacticidae.